RNAcentral lists this ribosomal RNA (261 nucleotides) under uncultured bacterium. Its description in RNAcentral is "partial 16S ribosomal RNA". It matches the Rfam family "Bacterial small subunit ribosomal RNA", at positions 92 to 354 of the family's 1533-position model. The record is from RNAcentral.
UGAGUGGCGGACGGGUGAGUAACGCGUGGGCAACCUGGCCUGUACAGGGGGAUAACACUUAGAAAUAGGUGCUAAUACCGCAUAACGGGGGAAGCCGCAUGGCUUUUCCCUGAAAACUCCGGUGGUACAGGAUGGGCCCGCGCCUGAUUAGCCAGUUGGCAGGGUAACGGCCUACCAAAGCGACGAUCAGUAGCCGGCCUGAGAGGGCGGACGGCCACACUGGGACUGAGACACGGCCCAGACUCCUACGGGAGGCAGCAG